GAAUAUGAAGCGAUAAAUUGCAAUUAGUUUCGACCUAAUACUAGAUGAUUAUCAUCCUUAUUCU
Molecule: transfer RNA, 64 nt
Filed under: Nephrotoma quadrifaria
Lineage: Eukaryota; Metazoa; Arthropoda; Insecta; Diptera; Tipulidae
Description: tRNA-Arg
Source: RNAcentral